RNAcentral lists this transfer RNA (72 nucleotides) under Ischnosoma splendidum. Its description in RNAcentral is "tRNA-Asp". The record is from RNAcentral. Lineage: Eukaryota; Metazoa; Arthropoda; Insecta; Coleoptera; Staphylinidae.
GAAAGUUUAGUUAAUAAAUAUAACAUUAGUUUGUCAAACUAAAAUUAUCCUCAUAAAUUUUGAUAACUUUUU